AAAGCGAGAAAGGGAGGAGCGCACUCACGGCGAACGCCACCAUGGCGGUGGCGAGGGCGAGGAAGCCGUACUUGGCCAUGCCCUCGGAGAGCCCGACGAAGGUGCUGGCGAUGCCGAACAUGACCCUCCACAGCGCGAUGCAGACGACGACCGCCCCGGCGCCGACGAGCAGCAUGUAGUUGCGCCUCCAGAACGCCUCCACCUGCAGCCCCACGGCCUCCCGGUACCUCGCCGCCGCGUUCUUGGCCGCGUCCAGCGGCCGCCCCAGCCCCAGCCCCUUCACCCCCUGCCCCAGCGGCGCCAGCUUCGACGACCCCCCGCCGCCGACGCCCGCCGCGAACGACCUUGCCCCGCCCACCACGAGCCGCCGCGCAUGCAGCUGUAGUAGCCUCGCGUCGGGGCGCGUGGUGGUGAAGAAGCGGGAGGAGGAGGAGGAGGAGGAGGGAGGAGAGGGGAAGUGGUGGCGGGGGAUGGGGGGAGCGUGGCGGGAGGGGAGGGGGUGGAGGAGGAGGCGGCGGUGGAGGGCGUGGAGGGCCCUCCGGGAGGAGGAGAGGGCGGCCGCCAUGGGAGGGGAUCGAGAUCGGGUUCGCGGCGGCGGAGGAGACGAAGGGGAAGAGGACGGACGACGGUGGUUUUGG
RNAcentral lists this small RNA (638 nucleotides) under Oryza sativa Japonica Group (Japanese rice). Its description in RNAcentral is "sRNA Os01g0168350". Lineage: Eukaryota; Viridiplantae; Streptophyta; Magnoliopsida; Poales; Poaceae. The record is from RNAcentral.